Long non-coding RNA from Poecilia latipinna (sailfin molly), 665 nucleotides. RefSeq lists it as uncharacterized. The transcript has 3 exons. Lineage: Eukaryota; Metazoa; Chordata; Actinopteri; Cyprinodontiformes; Poeciliidae. The record is from RefSeq and is a predicted model, not a curated record.
GGGGUCGCGCGGGUAGCUAACUGGUAUCCAUGGCAACCAAAGUUGUAGAACGCCAGUUGGCACGAAGCCAGAGCGAAGCUGCGGAGAUUAUUUAUCCUGGAAAACAUGGCAGAGAACGUAAAGGUAGCCGGUCAGUUUCAUGGUGGAUCGGAAGUAAGAGUCCCCCAAGCCCUCUUUUUUAUUAUACCACUGUGAAGGAUUCCUGCGUGUGUUUUUGUGGGGUCGACUGUGGCGACAGCAAAGGACGCAACGUGGAGAGGCUAACAGGCUAACCAUGCUAAUGCUAACCACCCAGCAGGCAGCGCCAGCUGAAAAAGCCCAGGAGUUAAAGGCAGGUUUAAUCAAACAGCAGUCUUUCUUUACGAGUUUAGUAAAAAUAUGGUAAAGUGAGCAUCCCCAUCUACCUUUUAACACAGGAGUUUCAUCCUUCUGAAGUCAUUUUGGAAAAUUGAUGUCCUUCACGGCCACUUGCAUCUCAAAACCGACAUGUCAAGGCGGACGAGUGCUCCAAUCCGAGGAGAUAAUUGUUUAAGAGAGUUCCAGUCUGAAAACUAUUUGACCUUUGGUAAAUUACCUGGUGGGCAGAAGAUUCACAGAUCUGAGUGAAACAAACUGCUGGAGAGAAAAUUAAAUACUGCAGCGAGUUUCAAGCUAAAUCACUUCAG